ACACGGAGGGGACUAGCGUUGUUCGGAAUUACUGGGCGUAAAGAGUUCGUAGGCGGACUGAUAAGUAAGAGGUGAAAUCCCAGGGCUCAACCCUGGAACUGCCUUUUAAACUGUCAGUCUAGAGACCGGAAGAGGUUAGGGGAAUACCUAGUGUAGAGGUGAAAUUCGUAGAUAUUAGGUGGAACACCAGUGGCGAAGGCGCCUAACUGAUCCGGUACUGACGCUGAGGAACGAAAGCGUGGGGAGCAAACAGGAUUAGAAACCCUAGUAGUCC
This 274-nucleotide ribosomal RNA is filed under the name uncultured bacterium. Its description in RNAcentral is "partial 16S ribosomal RNA". It matches the Rfam family "Bacterial small subunit ribosomal RNA", at positions 523 to 796 of the family's 1533-position model. The record is from RNAcentral.